UAUUUUAGUUUUAUUUAUUAAUGGUUAUAAUUUAAGACUUUAUUUCAAAGAGAUUUCUUUAUUUUGGGUUAUUAAAAUUUCUGUCAAAAGACAAAUUCUCAAAAAAAUUCACAAAAAUAUUUUAUCUUAAUGGCAUUUAUAAUUUGUAACCAGAGGCUCAAGUCAAAGGAAUUCAAGGAGAUUCAGUACUACUAUCUUCUGAUUAACAUGCUUUCUUUUAAAGAUUUAUUCAAAAUGUAUGGAUACAUGGAAUAGUGGAAAUGUGUUAAUUAUGCCAGUAAAAUAUUUUAGUGGAUAAUGAUUUAAUUGAAGAUUUUUUUUUUUAAUAUAUAAGUUAUUUUUAUAUGGUUUCCUGAAAUAUUCUUAAGCAAUUUUCAUAGUUUAUUUUAUCAAUAAAUUAAGUUAUAAAUUAUUUAAUUUAAUAUUUAUUUCAAACAAUUUCUAUGCACAUUAUUUAAAUAUCCUAAAUUACUUUAGGCAUGUAUGCCAUUGGUUGUUUUCACAGAGCUUAUACCCUAUUAUUUCAUCCAGAGUUGGUACAAUAUUAGUUGACUGGUCAAAAUUUGAUUAAUUGACAAAAGAAAUUUUGACUAUUCAUAAUAAAAUGUAUUUAAAUUUUAAAUUUAUUAUACAGCACGGUUUUAUUAUAUAUCUAGUUAUUAUUUUAUAAAAUGUUUUGUUUUACUCUUUUCCAAUGUUAAAAACAUUGGAAACAUGUUAAAAUGUUGGAAGUUAAGUAAGUUUAACAUUUAAAUUAACAUAUAACUUUAUAAGUAACUUUGAUUUGAUUUUUUAAUAAGUUAAGUUAGUGUUCAGUAAUUGUAGUUGAUAGACUUUAGUAUAAUAGUACGAAAAAAAUGAAAUUUUUAUGAGAAAUUUAAAGUUAUGAAAAAAAAUUACAAAUUAUACACAGCCUGAAGGUAUUGACUGUCUAUAUUUGGAACAGCUAUAAUAGAAUUAUAUAAUAAUAAAGUUUUUUAAUAAUAUUAUAAAAUGUAAAAAUUGAUUUCCUUAUAGUUUUUAAGAGUACUAUAAAUAAAAACUUAAAAGUCAGGGCUUAUAAAAUCAUUUGUAUUGUACCAUAUUUUGAAUUUAUUGUUAUAAAUUAUAAAAUGUUUAGUUUUCAACUAUUAGUGAGUAAAAUUUCUUUGUACAAAAAUAUUUUUAACUAAAUAAAUUAAAAAAACGGUAGCACAGUUGGGUUGUGGUAUAAUUGGUACAAUUAUAGAUGAUAACUGACAGUGAUUAAAAUCACUAUCAUAAGAAAUGCUUUGAUGCAAAUCUGUAACAUUUAAUUUUAAGAAAUUGAGAAAAUCGGUGGCCAUUUUCACAUAGAAGACAAGUUGUUUGGACAAAUUUUAUUUUUUACUUACAAUACUUAACAUAUGCUUUAAUUUAAUAUAUAUAUAAAGGACACUGUAUUUCCGGAACAUUUUAGAUUCAGUUUAAAGUGUUCUACUUUUUAUACUUAUUUUUCAAGUUUUGAACGUCCUCUGGUGAUAUUGUCCGAUUAAAAAAAAAAGUA
Long non-coding RNA from Daktulosphaira vitifoliae (grape phylloxera), 1525 nucleotides. RefSeq lists it as uncharacterized. The transcript is spliced from 2 exons. The record is from RefSeq and is a predicted model, not a curated record. Lineage: Eukaryota; Metazoa; Arthropoda; Insecta; Hemiptera; Phylloxeridae.